Molecule: ribosomal RNA, 452 nt
Filed under: uncultured bacterium
Lineage: Bacteria
Description: bacterial SSU rRNA
Rfam family: Bacterial small subunit ribosomal RNA
Source: RNAcentral
AACGAACGCUGGCGGCAGGCCUAACACAUGCAAGUCGAACGCCCUGCUUGCAGGGAGUGGCAGACGGGUGAGUAACGCGUGGGAAUCUACCCAGUGGUGCGGAAUAACACAGAGAAAUUUGUGCUAAUACCGCAUGAGCCCUUCGGGGGAAAGAUUUAUCGCCAUUGGAUGAGCCCGCGUUGGAUUAGCUAGUUGGUAGGGUAACGGCCUACCAAGGCGACGAUCCAUAGCUGGUCUGAGAGGAUGAUCAGCCACACUGGGACUGAGACACGGCCCAGACUCCUACGGGAGGCAGCAGUGAGGAAUAUUGGACAAUGGGCGCAAGCCUGAUCCAGCCAUGCCGCGUGAGUGAUGAAGGCCCUAGGGUUGUAAAGCUCUUUCAGUAGGGAAGAUAAUGACGGUACCUACAGAAGAAGCCCCGGCUAACUUCGUGCCAGCCGCCGCCGUAACAC